ACUGCCAUUUGCUAACUGCUGCCUCCAUCCACCGCUUGCCUUUCUGGGUCUGUCACUUCUUCACUCCGCUUUCCCUGCUCCCCAAUACUUUAGGAGAGCCCAAAGCAGAAUCCAGCCUUGGGUCUGCCAUAAGUGGGCCCCCGAAGUGGCAGCUUCUCUCCUCUUCGGGAUGUUUGGCAUCAGCCUCUUCCUCAUUCUGUGUGUUGCCCGCUUCCUUCUUCUACCUCAAACGACAAGCUUCCAACAAGCCUCCAACAAGCUUCCAAACUUCUUCUAGGGAAGAAGGAAAGGGUCUGUGGUAGAGUCUGCCGAAUCAGCAAGUACAAAUACACCCUUGAGACCAUCUAUGUUAUCUCCACCUUCUUCAGUUCAAAAGUCCUGCUAUGUCCAGAGAGAGAGAUCGCUCAUGUUCUCCAGAACCCGCACAUCGAUUUCUGCCGAGACCAGGGUCAGC
This is a long non-coding RNA of Hemicordylus capensis (graceful crag lizard), 454 nucleotides long. RefSeq lists it as uncharacterized. The transcript has 5 exons. Lineage: Eukaryota; Metazoa; Chordata; Lepidosauria; Squamata; Cordylidae. The record is from RefSeq and is a predicted model, not a curated record.